AUUUUUCUAAUAUAUUAAGUAUAUUUGACUUCCAAUCAAAAAGUUUGAACAAACAAGAUAAAUA
RNAcentral lists this transfer RNA (64 nucleotides) under Cryptocercus hirtus. RNAcentral's name for it is "tRNA-Gly". Lineage: Eukaryota; Metazoa; Arthropoda; Insecta; Blattodea; Cryptocercidae. The record is from RNAcentral.